UUCUUACGUGAUUUUGGUAGUCUCUUCGGUAUAUCACGCUGCAAAAAAGAAAAGAAGCGAAAACUAUUUAACACAAUGUAAUUUAAGAAAUGAGUAAUGAAAACUUUCACAGAAAGCAAUAAGGUUUUGCCAAUGUACUCGGAUUCCAAUGUCAACCAAACAGAAAACAAUAAGGUUUUGCCAAUGUACUCGGAUUCCAAUGUUAACCAAACUUCCUGACAAAAUGUUAUCACAAAAAUAAAACACUCGUAAGUUGCCUAACUGGAAUUCAUAAUUACUUCAGAAACUAUGGAUCAUUUAGUUAUAAUAAGCACAACUUUAAAUAGGACAGAAACAAAGGUUUAAAGUGGCGUGACACGGGGGUGUGCCGUUAUGUCCCUGGCAC
Molecule: long non-coding RNA, 385 nt
Filed under: Ananas comosus (pineapple)
Lineage: Eukaryota; Viridiplantae; Streptophyta; Magnoliopsida; Poales; Bromeliaceae
Description: long non-coding RNA (ACOM_LNC032322)
Source: RNAcentral